CCUACGGGAUGCAGCAGUGGGGAAUAUUGGGCAAUGGGCGCAAGCCUGACCCAGCAACGCCGCGUGAAGGAAGAAGGCUUUCGGGUUGUAAACUUCUUUUCUCAGGGACGAAGCAAGUGACGGUACCUGAGGAAUAAGCCACGGCUAAAUACGUGCCAGCAGCCGCGGGAAUACGUAGGUGGCAAGCGUUAUCCGGAUUUACUGGGUGUAAAGGGCGUGUAGGCGGGAAAGCAAGUCAGCUGUGAAAACCAUGGGCUCAACCUGUGGCCUGCAUUUGAAACUGUUUUUCUUGAGUACUGGAGAGGCAGACGGAAUUCCUAGUGUAGCGGUGAAAUGCGUAGAUAUUAGGAGGAACACCAGUGGCGAAGGCGGUCUGCUGGUCAGCAACUGACGCUGAGGCGCGAAAGCGUGGGGAGCAAACAGGAUUAGAUACCCUGGUAGUC
This 443-nucleotide ribosomal RNA is filed under the name uncultured bacterium. RNAcentral describes it as "partial 16S ribosomal RNA". It matches the Rfam family "Bacterial small subunit ribosomal RNA", at positions 338 to 795 of the family's 1533-position model. The record is from RNAcentral.